RNAcentral lists this ribosomal RNA (510 nucleotides) under Escherichia coli. RNAcentral describes it as "partial 23S ribosomal RNA". It matches the Rfam family "Bacterial large subunit ribosomal RNA", at positions 2269 to 2778 of the family's 2925-position model. The record is from RNAcentral. Lineage: Bacteria; Pseudomonadati; Pseudomonadota; Gammaproteobacteria; Enterobacterales; Enterobacteriaceae. RNAcentral also lists the same sequence under 1 other name.
UUUGACUGGGGCGGUCUCCUCCUAAAGAGUAACGGAGGAGCACGAAGGUUGGCUAAUCCUGGUCGGACAUCAGGAGGUUAGUGCAAUGGCAUAAGCCAGCUUGACUGCGAGCGUGACGGCGCGAGCAGGUGCGAAAGCAGGUCAUAGUGAUCCGGUGGUUCUGAAUGGAAGGGCCAUCGCUCAACGGAUAAAAGGUACUCCGGGGAUAACAGGCUGAUACCGCCCAAGAGUUCAUAUCGACGGCGGUGUUUGGCACCUCGAUGUCGGCUCAUCACAUCCUGGGGCUGAAGUAGGUCCCAAGGGUAUGGCUGUUCGCCAUUUAAAGUGGUACGCGAGCUGGGUUUAGAACGUCGUGAGACAGUUCGGUCCCUAUCUGCCGUGGGCGCUGGAGAACUGAGGGGGGCUGCUCCUAGUACGAGAGGACCGGAGUGGACGCAUCACUGGUGUUCGGGUUGUCAUGCCAAUGGCACUGCCCGGUAGCUAAAUGCGGAAGAGAUAAGUGCUGAAAGC